UUUUGGGUACCAAAAUAAUAUAUUUACACAAACAAAGCCAAGCAUAUGUGUAAACACCCAGUAAAACAACAAUAAAAUUGUACAUAUAGCACAAACAAAUCGAAAUACAUACAUGCAACCAAAUAAAAUGAUUGACAAAGAGAAAGAACAUACCUCACUACAAGUCCCAAAGUCAACAAACAAACUCUCAAAGUGAACAAACUUUUAGAUCUGCAAAAACAAGAACUAAAAAAUUAAAAAUCUUGCAAAACCCAGAAGAUAUGAACAAAAUACAAAGAAAAUAGGGCUAGAUCUUCAAGAUGUGUUCUUCAAACUAAACCCAGAAUUUGAAAACAAACCAAGAUGGAUUUGGAAUCUUCUUCGGUAGUGUUAAUAAAUUAGGGUUUAUAGAGUUCGAAUCUUUUGAGCGUAUAGUGAAACAGGGUUCUUGAGUGUAGCGAAAUUAGGGUUCUUGAAGAGAGGGAGAGAUUGAAAGAUUGAGAGGUGGGAGGUAGAGAUUUGAGAGGCGGGAGAGUGAGGUCGGGCUCGAGGGAGUAAGGGUCGAAAGAAAGGGGGGAAGAGAUUGGGGGAAAUA
This 574-nucleotide long non-coding RNA is filed under the name Daucus carota (carrot). Its description in RNAcentral is "long non-coding RNA (DCAR_LNC007143)". Lineage: Eukaryota; Viridiplantae; Streptophyta; Magnoliopsida; Apiales; Apiaceae. The record is from RNAcentral.